CAUGGAAAGGGUUUGGAUAAUCCCACCCUUAAGCAACGCAAGCUCAGGAGAUGGGAUGAUGGGAAAGCACCACCCGUGUCCCGGAGAACCCCAUCCCUGUCUGUGCCUUGCAGGAAGAGCCUGGAGAAGGCAGUGACAGACACAUUAAGGACCCCCUCAGGAAUUUCUCUUCCCAUUAGCACGGCCAGCGUUAAGUUUGCACGGUGGGGUCAAGGCAGGGUUUGACCAUCUCCCUGACAACAGCACGGCUGGAGGGGCCUCCCCCGGCCUUCCCAAGGCCGGUGGAAAGUUUCUCACUGACUUCAUGGGUUGGAGUGAGGGCCACGAGAAGCACGUGGAUGGCACUAUCCCAUUUUUUCCCACAUUGCACAACACGCAUGGAUGUAACAGUGAGUGUAAAAUCCAGCUCUACCUCUUGGAGAGGAGCCUCGUCCCUCCAGCACUGCCCCCUCCAGCCCCAUCCAAUGUGACACUGAGCUCAAAUAAACCUGUUUCAGCUCUGCCAGACUGAUUUUAAAGAGGAUGUUGCUCCACUCCUCUUCACUCCAAGCUGUCCUCAAUUCUUAUGUCUGUAGCAAGACACCUCCCAUCCCAAAUGAAGGAGCCACUGCCUUUCUGAGUGACAGAUAUCAGUCACUCCAGGCGAUGCCACUGGGCACCAGGCUUUGACUGAUCCGGGCUGGUGAUUUGUGCAGACAACAAGAGACACUGCGAAAGGUUUCAAAGCGAAUUCUUUGGAAGCCCAACAAGAGCCCCCACUUCCCCCUGUAGCGCGUUCGUGGCGAGGAACCCAGCGAGGAGAAAUCACCGUGACCCCCAUCCUCGUCAGGAAAAAUAAAUACAUUUCCUUCCA
Molecule: long non-coding RNA, 853 nt
Organism: Pseudopipra pipra
Lineage: Eukaryota; Metazoa; Chordata; Aves; Passeriformes; Pipridae
Exons: 2
Source: RefSeq, a predicted model, not a curated record